Molecule: transfer RNA, 73 nt
Filed under: Actinomycetes bacterium
Lineage: Bacteria; Bacillati; Actinomycetota; Actinomycetes
Also listed under: 2 other names
Description: Actinobacteria bacterium tRNA-Val
Rfam family: tRNA
About the family: Transfer RNA (tRNA) molecules are approximately 80 nucleotides in length. Their secondary structure includes four short double-helical elements and three loops (D, anti-codon, and T loops). Further hydrogen bonds mediate the characteristic L-shaped molecular structure. tRNAs have two regions of fundamental functional importance: the anti-codon, which is responsible for specific mRNA codon recognition, and the 3' end, to which the tRNAs corresponding amino acid is attached (by aminoacyl-tRNA synthetases). tRNAs cope with the degeneracy of the genetic code in two manners: having more than one tRNA (with a specific anti-codon) for a particular amino acid; and 'wobble' base-pairing, i.e. permitting non-standard base-pairing at the 3rd anti-codon position.
Source: RNAcentral
GGGCGCUUAGCUCAGUAGGGAGAGCGCCAGCUCGACAAGCUGGAGGUCGCUGGUUCGAGCCCAGCAGCGCCCA